UACGGGGGGGGCAAGCGUUGUUCGGAAUUACUGGGCGUAAAGGGCUCGUAGGCGGCCCGCUAAGUCCGACGUGAAAUCCCCAGGCUUAACCUGGGAAUUGCGUCGGAGACUGGCGGGCUUGAAUCCGGGAGAGGGAUGCGGAAUUCCAGGUGUAGCGGUGAAAUGCGUAGAUAUCUGGAGGAACACCGGUGGCGAAGGCGGCAUCCUGGACCGGCAUUGACGCUGAAUAGCGAAAGCCAGGGGAGCAAACGGG
RNAcentral lists this ribosomal RNA (253 nucleotides) under uncultured Acidobacteriota bacterium. RNAcentral describes it as "uncultured Acidobacteria bacterium partial 16S ribosomal RNA". It matches the Rfam family "Bacterial small subunit ribosomal RNA", at positions 524 to 776 of the family's 1533-position model. The record is from RNAcentral. Lineage: Bacteria; Pseudomonadati; Acidobacteriota.